Molecule: ribosomal RNA, 501 nt
Filed under: Cyanothece sp. HPC-69
Lineage: Bacteria; Bacillati; Cyanobacteriota; Cyanophyceae; Gomontiellales; Cyanothecaceae
Description: partial 16S ribosomal RNA
Source: RNAcentral
GGGGUAUCUAAUCCCUUUCGCUACCCUAGCUUUCGUCCUCUGAGUGUCAGUNGUGGUCCAGUAGAGCGCUUUCGCCACCGGUGUUCUUCCCAAUCUCUACGCAUUUCACCGCUACACUGGGAAUUCCCUCUACCCCUACCACUCUCUAGUCUCUCAGUUUCCACUGCCUUACGGUAGUUGAGCUACCGCCUUUGACAGCNGACUUGAAAAACCACCUGCGGACGCUUUACGCCCAAUAAUUCCGGAUAACGCUUGCAUCCUCCGUCUUACCGCGGCUGCUGGCACGGAGUUAGCCGAUGCUGAUUCCUCANGNACCGUCAUUUCUUCUUCCUUGAGAAAAGAGGUUUANAAACCUAAGUCUUUCUUCCCUCACGNGGUCUGGGCUCCGUCAGGCUUUCGCCCAUUGCGGAAAAUUCCCCACUGCUGCCUCCCGUAANAAUCNGGGNCGNGUCUCAGUCCCNGUGUGGCUGANCUUCCUCUCAAAAAAGCUACGGAUCGAUG